Long non-coding RNA from Cydia pomonella (codling moth), 4870 nucleotides. RefSeq lists it as uncharacterized. The record is from RefSeq and is a predicted model, not a curated record. Lineage: Eukaryota; Metazoa; Arthropoda; Insecta; Lepidoptera; Tortricidae. The transcript has 2 exons.
UCCCCAACUGCAUGCCACAAGCUGCCCGAAGUUGACUGAUUGCACUGGUAAAAUCAGCGGGCCAUAGAUUAUUAGUUUGCAGUUCCUAAAAGCCAUUGCUGAAAGGAUGUGUAGCUGUCAUAUACAAAAACAAUGGGUAGACAGUCUCAAAGGGUAUGUCUUAUGAUAAAUAGUUUCAUGCCGCAGUAAAAUAAUGUGAUUUGUAGUAUUUAGUUUUAAAAUAUAUUUUUAUAAUGUGUAUGCUAAUCUUAAGGUAUUUAUCUAUGGGCCGCUAGUUGCCUGAAAUAAAUUAUGAUAGAUAGACGGAUAGAUGGGGUGUUCUAAGAGAAAGUCGCUUUGAAAAUGCUUUUGUCUUGUAUGGCAGAUUCCUCAAUCAACUGCGUAAAGCUCGAGAAAAUACUGCCGAAAGGCUAGGCUAGAUAAUAAGUUUUUAUAAAAGAAACGUCUUUAUGGGACCCAUAACAUUGAAGCAAUACAAAAGUUAGAAAUGAGAGUCAAAUCUGACAAUCGUUAUCUACGCACGAAACGCAACUUAUUAAAUGAUACUUGAUCGUGACGUCAUGAUUAAGUUAAUGCGUUUUAUUUGCAUUGCAUUUACAAAAAGAGGAGCUUUCGAGUUUCGAGGAUUAUGUUUUUAAAAUACGUGUAUAUUACGUAGGUUUGUUUGUAUUGAUUUUUUGAUUCUAGAAAUAAUAGUUGUAUAACCUUAAUAUGUAUGUAGGUAAGUACUAAGUACAUAAAAGGUACCGAAAUAGGUCAGAAGAGCAGUAAAUUCAAUAUUACUAUACAGUAUAUCCAAAAAGAGCGCUAUGAUAAGUAAAAGUUCCUUUUUAGGGUUCAGUACCCAAAGGGUAAAACGGGAGCCUAUUACUAAGACUCCGCUGUCAGUACGUCUAUCCGUCUGUCACCAGGCUGUAUCUCGUAAACCGUGAUAGUUAGUUGAUAUUUUCAAAGAUGAUGUAUUACUGUUGCCGCAAUAACAACAAAUACUAAAAACUACGGUACCCUAGAUGGGCGAGUCCGGCUCGCAUUUUGUCCGGUAUUAUUUAAAUAUAGGAGGCAAAUGAGGAAAGCCCAUGAACAGAGGUCGUACCUAUCAUAGGAUAAGUAGAUAUAUAUGUACAAAGAAACAGCGGUAUGUUAAGUAGAAGUAUUUUUUUUAAUAUAGGAGGCAAAUGAGCAGAGCCCAUGAACAGAGGUUGUAUCAUAGGAUAAGUAGAUAUGUACAAAGAAAUGGCACUAUGUUAAGUAGAUUUUUUUUUUAAUAUAUGAGGCAAACGAGCAGUGCCCACGAACAGAGCUCGUAUCAGAAGAUUUAUAGAGAUGUACAAAGGAAUGGCGUUAUGUUAAGUAGAAGUAUUUUUUUUUUAAUAUAGGAGGCAAACGAGCAGAACCCAUGAACAGAGCUCAUAUCAUAAGAUUUGUAGAGAUGUACAAAGGAAUGGCGUUAUGUUAAGUAGAAGUAUUUUUUUAAAUACAGGAGGCAAACGAGCAGAGCCCAUGAACAGAGGUCGUAUCUUAAGAUUUGUAGAUAUGUACAUAGAAAUGGCGCUAUGUUAAGUAGAAGUAUUUUUUUAAAUAUAGGAGGCAAAUGAGCAGAGCCCAUGAACAGAGGUUGUAUCAUAGGAUAAGUAGAUAUGUACAAAGAAAUGGCACUAUGUUAAGUAGAAUUUAUUUUUUUUAAUAUAGGAGGCAAACGAGCAGAGCCCACGAACAGAGCUCGUAUCAGAAGAUUUAUAGAGAUGUACAAAGGAAUGGCGUUAUGUUAACUAGAAGUAUUUUUUUAAUAUAGGAGGCAAACGAGCAGAACCCAUGAACAGAGCUCAUAUCAUAAGAUUUGUAGAGAUGUACAAAGGAAUGGCGUUAUGUUAAGUAGAAGUAUUUUUUAAAUACAGGAGGCAAACGAGCAGAGCCCAUGAACAGAGGUCGUAUCAUAAGAUUUGUAGAUAUGUACAUAGAAACGGCGCUAUGUUAAGUAGAAGUAUUUUUUUAAAUAUAGGAGGCAAAUGAGCAGAGCCCAUGAACAGAGGUUGUAUCAUAGGAUAAGUAGAUAUGUACAAAGAAAUAGCACUAUGUUAAGUAGAAUUUUUUUUUAUAUAGUGGGCAAACGAGCAGAGCCCACGAACAGAGCUCGUAUCAGAAGAUUUAAAGAGAUGUUCAAAAGAAUGGCGUUAUGUUAAGUAGAAGUAUUUUUUUUAAUAUAGGAGGCAAACGAGCAGAACCCAUGAACAGAGCUCAUAUCAUAAGAUUUGUAGAGAUGUACAAAGGAAUGGCGUUAUGUUAAGUAGAAGUAUUUUUUUUAAUAUAGGAGGCAAACGAACAGAGCCCACGAACAGAGCUCGUAUCAGAAGAUUUAUAGAGAUGUACAAAAGAAUGGCGUUAUGUUAAGUAGAAGUAUUUUUUUUAAUAUAGGAGGCAAACGAGCAGAACCCAUGAACAGAGCUCAUAUCAUAAGAUUUGUAGAGAUGUACAAAGGAAUGGCGUUAUGUUAAGUAGAAGUAUUUUUUUAAAUACAGGAGGCAAACGAGCAGAGCCCAUGAACAGAGCUCAUAUCAUAAGAUUUGUAGAGAUGUACAAAGGAAUGGCGUUAUGUUAAGUAGAAGUAUUUUUUUAAAUACAGGAGGCAAACGAGCAGAGCCCAUGAACAGAGGUCGUAUCAUAAGAUUUGUAGAUAUGUACAUAGAAAUGGCGCUAUGUUAAGUAGAAGUAUUUUUUAUAUAGUGGGCAAACGAGCAGAGCCCACGAACAGAGCUCGUAUCAGAAGAUUUAAAGAGAUGUACAAAGGAAUGGCGUUAUGUUAAGUAGAAGUAUUUUUUUUAAUAUAGGAGGCAAAUGAGCAGAGCCCAUGAACAGAGCUCAUAUCAUAAGAUUUGUAGAGAUGUACAAAGGAAUGGCGUUAUGUUAAGUAGAAGUAUUUUUUUAAAUACAGGAGGCAAACGAGCAAAGCCCAUGAACAGAGGUCGUAUCAUAAGAUUUGUAGAUAUGUACAUAGAAAUGGCGCUAUGUUAAGUAGAAGUAUUUUUUUAAAUAUAGGAGGCAAAUGAGCAGAGCCCAUGAACAGAGGUUGUAUCAUAGGAUAAGUAGAUAUGUACAAAGAAAUAGCACUAUGUUAAGUAGAAUUUUUUUUUAUAUAGUGGGCAAACGAGCAGAGCCCACGAACAGAGCUCGUAUCAGAAGAUUUAAAGAGAUGUACAAAGGAAUGGCGUUAUGUUAAGUAGAAGUAUUUUUUUUAAUAUAGGAGGCAAACGAGCAGAACCCAUGAACAGAGCUCAUAUCAUAAGAUUUGUAGAGAUGUACAAAGGAAUGGCGUUAUGUUAAGUAGAAGUAUUUUUUUAAAUACAGGAGGCAAACGAGCAGAGCCCAUGAACAGAGGUCGUAUCUUAAGAUUUGUAGAUAUGUACAUAGAAAUGGCGCUAUGUUAAGUAGAAGUAUUUUUUUAAAUAUAGGAGGCAUAUGAUCAGAGCCCAGGAACAGAGCUCGUAUCAGAAGAUUUAUAGAGAUGUACAAAGGAAUGGCGUUAUGUUAAGUAGAAGUAUUUUUUUUAAAUAUAGGAGGCAAACGAGCAGAACCCAUGAACAGAGCUCAUAUCAUAAGAUUUGUAGAGAUGUACAAAGGAAUGUAUGACCUCGUAAUUUAUUCACCUCGUAAAUUAUUUGCAGGUGACUAAAUAAACACCCUGUAUAUAUUUGUUGUUGUAUCAACAAAUCAAGCAUUUACAUUAAAAAAGUGAGUGACAUUUAAUUAAGUGGAACUGCUGACGAAGACCAGACGGAACACCUCAACUACGCGUAUUUCACGUUUGGCGAUAUCUUCUUCGUUGAGAUUGUUCUGCAAGUUAUUUUUUAAGCUUCAUUUUAGUCAAGAUCUAUUUCUGAUAAUGGAUCCCAGGAAUAAUGGAUGAAACUCUUCAAAUAUUUUACAUAAAGUAUAUUUUUAUAUUUGCAUUUAAACAGUGCUAUUUGGUGAAACGUGUUCAUGAAGAUUAGAAUAUAACUUCUCCUUGACAAGUAUUUUACGAGUUAGGGCUUAGGUAUAUUAUAUGGGCUUACCUAUGGGCUAUUGUUUUUCAUUCAAUAGUUUACAUAUGUGAAAGAGAAAGUAUAACAAUAUGCUUGUUAGACUAAAAUAGCUUUAGUUUUGUUAAUUUCAAAAACUUAGUAGGUGAUAAUUAUAACAUAGGUAUAGAAUCUUCAAAAAUAAAACAGUAGAUACAAAGCAGGUGUUAUUGGCCCGUCUUUAUAUAUAGAAAAUCGAUGGCAUGAUUCCUAGGAACAGAUCUUCGUAUGUGUUAUAGUUUCAAACUUUCCCAUACUGAACGAUCUAAAUAGGCCACCAUGUAUACCCUACGGAACAUUUUAUUUCGUUGGAUGAAUUUAGGGUGUAGGGGAGAAACUACCCAAUUAUGAGCUACUUACUGAAAACUAUCAUUAAUAGACAAUUGUAAGGAUAUUUAACAUUGCCAAAAUAAGGUUAAAGGUGCCCUCUAGUAGUACUUAGUCGAUAUUGUGAUACAAUGAAUGGUAUUAUAAACAUUUUUCUUUUUUCAUAUACUAUGGACAUUCCUCGAUGGCACCAAGCUGCAACUGGAAAGCGAUGAUCACACGGCAAAUAAAAUCGUGAAGACUGUAGCAGCCACGUCUAAGGAGGAUGAAUGUAUCCACAUUCAAUAUUUUUUAUUUAUUUUUUGUUUGAUAUGUAAAAAUGCACGUUAAGGUGGUUCGACUAGGUUACCCAAAGCUUAAACCUCACUAGAUGGCGCCACAAUUGCAAAUUUUGAGUUUUAAUUUUUUUGUGGAGUAGUCUUGGUAUUUCUAUUCUGUAAAUUAUGUUUAGCGCACUCUUUAAAUAAAUAUUGAACUAUUACAACAAA